This 253-nucleotide ribosomal RNA is filed under the name uncultured bacterium. RNAcentral describes it as "partial 16S ribosomal RNA". It matches the Rfam family "Bacterial small subunit ribosomal RNA", at positions 524 to 776 of the family's 1533-position model. The record is from RNAcentral.
UACGUAGGUGACAAGCGUUGUCCGGAUUUACUGGGCGUAAAGAGCUCGUAGGCGGUUUGUUGCGUCGGCUGUGAAAUCCCGAGGCUCAACCUCGGGUCUGCAGUCGAUACGAGCAAACUAGAGUGUUGCAGGGGAGACUGGAAUUCCUGGUGUAGCGGUGAAAUGCGCAGAUAUCAGGAGGAACACCGGUGGCGAAGGCGGGUCUCUGGGCAACAACUGACGCUGAGGAGCGAAAGCGUGGGGAGCGAACAGG